CGGCAGUGAGGAAGUACUAGACUAUCAUUGGUUGGAUCUUUCAAUUUAUUGCUGUUAUGGAUAACUAUAUUAUUUGUUCUGGCAUUUGGGCUUCUUGGACUAACUGUUUCUGUAGGAUAUUGUAAAGAACUUUCGAUUUCUCUUUUUUAAUUUGGUGGCUUUUGUG
This is a long non-coding RNA of Phalaenopsis equestris, 166 nucleotides long. RefSeq lists it as uncharacterized. The transcript has 2 exons. The record is from RefSeq and is a predicted model, not a curated record. NCBI's taxonomy places the organism in Eukaryota, Viridiplantae, Streptophyta, Magnoliopsida, Asparagales, Orchidaceae.